This 67-nucleotide transfer RNA is filed under the name Marmota monax (woodchuck). RNAcentral's name for it is "tRNA.Ala". The record is from RNAcentral. Lineage: Eukaryota; Metazoa; Chordata; Mammalia; Rodentia; Sciuridae.
GGUUAUAGCUCAGUGGUAGAGUGCUUGCCUAGCAUGUGUGAGGCACUGGGUUCUAUCCUCAGCAUCA